Anopheles merus is the source of this 2227-nucleotide RNA transcript. RefSeq lists it as uncharacterized. The record is from RefSeq and is a predicted model, not a curated record. Lineage: Eukaryota; Metazoa; Arthropoda; Insecta; Diptera; Culicidae. The transcript is spliced from 5 exons.
GACGUACAAUCGCUGUCAGCCGUCGUCCGUGCUUUUUCCCUCCAUAGCGCUAUCUCUUUCUCGCGUGCAGCCCAAUUUUAAGACCGGUAUUGGUACCGAUAGAAAAUGUAAACAAACGUCAACACAAAUUCAACCAGUACUCAUUCCUCCCGUGAAAAGUUUCCCGAUAGAAAGAGCGAAAAUGGUCUCGAAUCAGGACAAGAAAAGUGGCUUGAUGUCCCACGCAAUUGCCCGGCUCUACAAGCAGUGUCUGGAGGAAGUGGAAAGGGAACUCCUCCUUGCCUAGCAGCCAGAACCUCCGACUGUGGAUGACCGAGCGCGUGAUGUGCAGUUUGAAGAUGUUCCGAUGCCCAUGGAAGUGAUCGACGAUGCUGCUCCGCUUAGCGAAAGCGGGGAGGAAGGUACGACCGACGCAUGCAGCAGCGAGGAUACAGACGUGGAGAAUAUCCAGGUCGAGGUGGAAAUGCCAGACCAUCCGUACGGAGAUCUUUCGUACGAAGAUGGCUUGAGGAUGUGGGCCCUGCAAACUGGACAAACUCAUCGCAGUUUGAACCUUUUGCUGGGCCAUUUGCGACAUCACUUCCCCCAGAACAAAUUGCUCCGAGAUGCACGGACGUUGAUGACCACGCCUGUGUCCGGAGCACCGGAGACAGCCCUUACACCAAUCGCAGGUGGGCAGCUGUGGUACCAGGGUGUGGAAAAAUGCCUGCUUUCAUAUUUUAGCCAACCCAGGGUUCGAGUUUAACAUUUUUGUGGAUUGCCUACCCCUGUACAAGAGCAGUCGGACCCAAUUUUGGCCGAUUCUCAUGCAGGCUCAUAACGUUCCACAUACUCCUGUAAUGACGGUUGCGAUAUUCUGUGGCGAAUCAAAACCGUUAUUCGUCAAGGAGUUUUUGCAGCCGUUUGUGGACGAAAUGAACAGACUGCAUGUGACAGGUCUGACAAUUAAAUCCCGCUCUUACUGGGUGGAAGCGCGUGCAAUAAUUGCAGAUGCUCCGGCACGAGCAUUUAUUAAAGGUGUUAAAUUGCAUAAUGCGUACAGCGCUUGCAUGAAAUGCACUAUCGUUGGUGAGUUGGAUGGACACCAGAUGUACUUCCGGUAUGGUGAACAAUACCCGCCUCGGAACUACAAGGAUUUUUGUGAUGACAAAUAUCCAACACAUGUCAACAACCCUACGCCCUUUACGAGUCUGUUAGGUUGCGAUAUCGUUGACGAUUUUGUGUCAGCCAAAGACAUGCACUUAAUAUACAAGGGCGUAGAGGCAAAGUUGCUACAUUUGUGGAUAAAUGGCUUCCCUGGCGUAACUUGUUACUUGCGACGUCGCCAGCAACGUGAAGUGUCGGCGCACUUGCGUCUGUUAAGGCUGCCUUCAGAUUACCAACGUAAACUGCGCGACCUGCGAUACAUCCAUCUCUGGAAAGCUUCGGAGUACAGGAUGUUUCUGCUGGUUGCCGGUUUCGUUGUUCUGAAGGAUAGACUUAGCGAUGCAGAGUACCAACACUUCAUGUUGUUGAUGAUGGCUGUGACGUUUAUAUCCACCACAUACCAUCGCGCUACAAGGGAACUGGCUGAUUCAUAUUUGCAUAGGUUUGUGGCAGCCUAUGGCGAUCUGUACAGCCCGGUUCUCAUGAAUAGCAACGUGCAUAACUUGCUGCACGUUUACAAUGACGUUUGCACGUUCGAUGGACUAAAAAACAUAUCAGCCUUCAUUUUUGAGGCAUUUUUGCAUGACCUCAAAAAGUUGGUGCAUUCCGGGAGGCACAGCCUGGUACAAGCGGUCCAUCGUUUGCUGAAACUGCAACAUGUCAUUGUUGCCCAGCUUCAGCAAAACAAACCGGUGGACGAACCAUCGGUGCGCACGGUUGGUGUCAACACCAUAACGACCGUGCGGCAGGGCUUCGCGCUGCGAAAAAACUUUCGCGAUCAAUGGUUCAUGACCAACUCGAGCGAGGUGGUCCGUUACGAAACGGCCACAAAAACAGGCAAGGACGUUACGGUGCAGGGGUACGCGUUUUUCAAACAGGUGCCUGCCUUUACGGAACCAUGCCUUUCAACGGAGGCGAAUAUUUACUCUGCCAACAUGGAAGAUUUGAAUAAGGGUGAACUGCAACACGACGCCAGCAGUACGCUGAUGUGCAAGGUAGCUGCAGUGGAAACGGGACAGGAAGGGGUGUUAAUGUUUGUGCCGUUGACACACACUUACAUUUGCUAAGAAAUAAAUUUAAA